UGUUUGAUCUCAAAUCAGGUAGGACUACCCGCUGAACUUAAGCAUAUCAAUAAGGCGGAGGAA
RNAcentral lists this ribosomal RNA (63 nucleotides) under uncultured fungus. Its description in RNAcentral is "partial 28S ribosomal RNA". Lineage: Eukaryota; Fungi. The record is from RNAcentral.